CUCUGGUCCUGGCACAAACCCAUGCAGUUGUAGGACCCUUUAUUCUUCUGAUCAUUCACAUUUCCUAGACCGUUCUAACAGAAGGAACUGAAUUUUGAAGGGAACAGCAAGUUUUUAUGAUGAGAACAGAACUAUUUGACCGGCAAAGACUGAGUGGAUUAAACCAAAAGACAUAUCUGAAAGUCACCCUUAUCUUAGACCAACGGCCUCAGUGGACAUGGAUUACAA
Long non-coding RNA from Agrilus planipennis (emerald ash borer), 228 nucleotides. RefSeq lists it as uncharacterized. The record is from RefSeq and is a predicted model, not a curated record. The transcript has 3 exons. NCBI's taxonomy places the organism in Eukaryota, Metazoa, Arthropoda, Insecta, Coleoptera, Buprestidae.